UCACAGCUAUAAUGCAAGUCGAGCGAAUGAUGAGGAGCUUGCUCCUCUGAUUUAGCGGCGGACGGGUGAGUAACACGUGGGUAAUCUGCCUGUAAGACGGGGAUAACUCCGGGAAACCGGGGCUAAUACCGGAUAAUAAGAGAAGAAGCAUUUCUUCUUUUUGAAAGUCGGUUUCGGCUGACACUUACAGAUGAGCCCGCGGCGCAUUAGCUAGUUGGUGAGGUAACGGCUCACCAAGGCGACGAUGCGUAGCCGACCUGAGAGGGUGAUCGGCCACACUGGGACUGAGACACGGCCCAGACUCCUACGGGAGGCAGCAGUAGGGAAUCUUCGGCAAUGGGCGAAAGCCUGACCGAGCAACGCCGCGUGAGCGAUGAAGGCCUUCGGGUCGUAAAGCUCUGUUGUUAGAGAAGAACAAGUACGAGAGUAACUGCUCGUACCUUGACGGUACCUAACCAGAAAGCCACGGCUAACUACGUGCCAGCAGCCGCGGUAAUACGUAGGUGGCAAGCGUUAUCCGGAAUUAUUGGGCGUAAAGCGCGCGCAGGCGGUCUCUUAAGUCUGAUGUGAAAGCCCACGGCUCAACCGUGGAGGGUCAUUGGAAACUGGGAGACUUGAGUGCAGGAGAGAAAAGUGGAAUUCCACGUGUAGCGGUGAAAUGCGUAGAGAUGUGGAGGAACACCAGUGGCGAAGGCGGCUUUUUGGCCUGUAACUGACGCUGAGGCGCGAAAGCGUGGGGAGCAAACAGGAUUAGAUACCCUGGUAGUCCACGCCGUAAACGAUGAGUGCUAGGUGUUGGGGGGUUCCACCCUCAGUGCUGAAGUUAACACAUUAAGCACUCCGCCUGGGGAGUACGACCGCAAGGUUGAAACUCAAAGGAAUUGACGGGGGCCCGCACAAGCAGUGGAGCAUGUGGGUUUAAUUCGAAGCAACGCGAGAACCUUACCAGGUCUUGACAUCCUUUGACCACUCUAGAGAUAGAGCUUCCCCUUCCGGGGACAAAGUGACAGGUGGUGCAUGCUUGUCGUCAGCUCGUGUCGUGAGAUGUGGUAGUCCGCAACGAGCGCACCCUUGACCUUAGUUGCCAGCAUUCAGUUUGGGCAACUCUAAGGUGACUGCCGGGUG
Molecule: ribosomal RNA, 1125 nt
Filed under: Bacillus sp. (in: firmicutes)
Lineage: Bacteria; Bacillati; Bacillota; Bacilli; Caryophanales; Bacillaceae
Description: bacterial SSU rRNA
Rfam family: Bacterial small subunit ribosomal RNA
Source: RNAcentral